This 206-nucleotide ribosomal RNA is filed under the name uncultured bacterium. Its description in RNAcentral is "partial 16S ribosomal RNA". It matches the Rfam family "Bacterial small subunit ribosomal RNA", at positions 568 to 774 of the family's 1533-position model. The record is from RNAcentral.
CGUGUAGGCGGAGCUGCAAGUCAGAUGUGAAAUCUCCGGGCUUAACCCGGAAACUGCAUUUGAAACUGUAGUCCUUGAGUAUCGGAGAGGCAAGCGGAAUUCCUAGUGUAGCGGUGAAAUGCGUAGAUAUUGGGAGGAACACCAGUGGCGAAGGCGACUUGCUGGGCCGUAACUGACGCUGAGGCGCGAAAGCGUGGGAGCGAACA